This 334-nucleotide unclassified non-coding RNA is filed under the name soil metagenome. Its description in RNAcentral is "partial contains 5.8S ribosomal RNA, internal transcribed spacer 2, and large subunit ribosomal RNA". The stretch from base 1 to 120 matches the Rfam family "5.8S ribosomal RNA", at positions 35 to 154 of the family's 154-position model. The record is from RNAcentral.
GAUGAAGAACGUAGCGAAAUGCGAUAAGUAGUGUGAAUUGCAGAAUUUAGUGAAUCAUCGAAUCUUUGAACGCACAUUGCGCCCGCCAGCACUCUGGCGGGCAUGCCUGUUCGAGCGUCAUUUCAACCAUCAAGCCCCAGGCUUGCGUUGGAGCCCUGCGGCUGCCGCAGCCUCCUAAAAGCAGUGGCGGGCUCGCUAUCACACCGAGUGCAGUAGAUUACUCUUCGCUCAGGGCGUGCAGCGGGUUCCGGCCGUGAAACCCCCUACUUUUAAAGGUUGACCUCGGAUCAGGUAGGAAUACCCGCUGAACUUAAGCAUAUCAAUAAGCGGAGGA